UCUUAGAAUGCAAGAGGGUGGUUAGUGAAUGAGACCAGGUCACCAAGGGUCUUGUAACCAUGGUAAGGAAUUUGGAAUUUAUCCUAAGGGUAGGAAGAAGCCCUUGAAAAGGGCUAUAGCAGGCAGUGUGGAGAAUUGAAUGAGAAGAAGCUAUUGUAACUCCUCAGAGAAAAUGGCAGUCUCCUCCACAGUCUGUGUCACAGCCAGGGACCAAGGCAGCACAAAGAGAAGGAAGCAAGAGGAAAUAAAGGAGGAUCACAUUUUCAUGGAAACAUGCCCACAGAACUCCAAGGAUGGAUCCAAGGUUUUAAAAAGUAAUUAUUCUUUACAAUAUUCAUAAUUUUCUAAUAAACUCAACACAGACCAG
This is a long non-coding RNA of Felis catus (domestic cat), 367 nucleotides long. RefSeq lists it as uncharacterized. The record is from RefSeq and is a predicted model, not a curated record. The transcript is spliced from 3 exons. Lineage: Eukaryota; Metazoa; Chordata; Mammalia; Carnivora; Felidae.